GAGGAGGCCGGGCGAGUUCGGAGGAGGCCGGCUGGCGGGCCGCGAAGGGGACCCCAGUCACGGCGGCCCGGGGAGGCCCGGCCGGUUCGCCUCAGGCACUGGGGUCCCAGGGGACGUGCUCUGUACGCUGGAGGAUUAAAGAUGACCGCCUGACUGGCUGAUCGAUUAAAGCUGGGCUCCUCGUGCACCUGAGCUCCCUGCAGCGACGCCCCAGAAGCCCCGGGGCCCCCCGAGAAGCUCGCGGGCCGAGGCGUUCCCCCGAAGAAAGGUUCGCGCCAUCGCGGCACCUCUGGACUGGAGGAGAAAGCAAGGGGACGCAAGGUGGGAACUAGGCGGGGUUGGCAGCCUGCUCCCGCCGUGCCCGGGCUGGCCAGGGGAUGCUUCACAGAUGAGCACUCUGGGAGGACUGGCGGGGGAGGGAAAGCAGCCCAGGAUGAGCCGGAGGAUCGGCACGAGGGUGGAUCCCGGAACACCCCCGGAGUCGGGAGGGUGAGUCGAAGAGGAGGAGGAGGACGACGACUAAAUGCAUAAAUAAAUGCGGUAUCUGUGUAAGCGCCUACUAUAAUGAUAA
Ornithorhynchus anatinus (platypus) is the source of this 571-nucleotide long non-coding RNA. RefSeq lists it as uncharacterized. The transcript has 2 exons. The record is from RefSeq and is a predicted model, not a curated record. NCBI's taxonomy places the organism in Eukaryota, Metazoa, Chordata, Mammalia, Monotremata, Ornithorhynchidae.